Molecule: long non-coding RNA, 1430 nt
Filed under: Medicago truncatula (barrel medic)
Lineage: Eukaryota; Viridiplantae; Streptophyta; Magnoliopsida; Fabales; Fabaceae
Description: long non-coding RNA (MTRU_LNC002229)
Source: RNAcentral
GCUGAUUCAAAAUUUUAAGUAUCAUAAUAAAUCACUUGAUUCCUUAAUGCAUAUUUGAUAUUGUGAUGGGUUUGACAAAAUCACACCGAGCCACCUUGAUUUUGCAGAUUUUGGCAAAUUGUUGGUGGCUCAUAGGUACUGACAAGUGGGCAGAGACAAACGACUAACAAUACUGAUAACCGAUGCUGGAGUUCAAGGAAUCAUGAUUUUGAUAAGAUAAAAUAGCAUAAAUUAAUGACCAUGAACUAUGUUUUGGAAGGCAUGUAAAAUAUAAGAAACCAUAUAAAAAUUAAUGUUUUGGAAGACACAAGACAUGUCCAAAAAACAAAAUUGAAUGCACUAAUUAUACAACUUCUACAUGUAAAGGAGUGGCAGUAGGAUUCUCCAAGAUUUGUCUUGUUUGCCUAGGAGACACCGACAUAAAUGACAUAACAAUAGGUUUAAGCUUCUCAGUAGUUUUGAUAAUAAUCAAAAACACAACUCGAUAUAGAACAAUCAUACCCAACAAUACUCCAAGAUCAACCCACUUUGAGUAACUCAUAUCUACAUGAAAUUUAUUUCUUAGAAUCUCUUCACCACUAAUGUAAUUGAGUGAUCCACCAAUUUCAUCUCUUUCAAAUUUUAGUCCUUCAAACUCAUUUUUAUAGGAUCCUUGAAAAGCAUACCUAUGAAAGGAAAUAUAGAACAUAGGGUAUCUCCAAAAUGGAUUAGGAAGAUCAUUUGGCAAUCUAAAGAAUCCACCAGCCAACAUCAUGAUUCCUUGAAUUCCAGCACCAGUUAUAAUUCCCAUUAGAAAAUCAGGAACAAUGCUUGCAACUAUCAUCAUAAGACUCUCCACUAACAUUAGACAAGAAAAUAGAGCACAGAUAAAAUAUAUGAAGUGCUCAAAUCCUUUUUGAAGACCUGGAGGGUAAUAUGCUAUAGCUCCAGGAAUGAGGGAAAUCAUCAACAAAUAUGGAAUAGCUGAAAGUGUGUUUCCAAUUACAUAUGCAGUAACACCAUAGUGUCCAUUUAGUCUUUCACGUUCAAAUACCUAUACAAAUUAACAGCAUAUAUAUGAUACCAUAAAAGACCGAAUAAAACAAUUAUCUAGUGACUACAUACAUACAUAUAUCAAGUAAUUAGAGAAACUGGUAAUCGAAAUUGUAAGACUCUCAAAUGACCAACGUUCACCGAGGGAUAAUUUUGAAUGAUUUUUUUCAUUUUUAAAAAUGUAUUUACCAAUUCACAAAAGUUAUGAAUUAUUCUGACCGAUGCUUACAACUUUGAGAAUCAAUUUGACUAUUCAUUCAAUAUAUAUAUUUGCAAAAAUUUUAAUAAAAAUAGUUUGAAACUUUGAAUUAUACCUUCAUAUCCUCCACAUAAGAAGGGAAUCCACCAAUGGUCAUGAAAGUUAGGAAUGAAAACACAAACAUAAGAAGUGAACCUCU